This 353-nucleotide ribosomal RNA is filed under the name uncultured bacterium. RNAcentral describes it as "bacterial SSU rRNA". It matches the Rfam family "Bacterial small subunit ribosomal RNA", at positions 29 to 371 of the family's 1533-position model. The record is from RNAcentral.
AGCGAACGCUGGCGGCGUGCUUAACACAUGCAAGUCGAGUGCGUAGCCCUUUGUAGCAAUACAGAGGGUGGGCGCACGGCGCACGGGGUGAGUAACACGUGGGUAACCUGCCCUUGGUGGGGAAUAACCCCGCGAAAGCGGGGCUAAUUCCGCAUAACAUUCCGGGGACACAUGUUCUCGGACUCAAAGGAGUGAUUCGCCGGAGGGAGGGGCCCGCGCCCGAUUAGCUUGUUGGUAGGGUAACGGCCACCAAGGCUUUGAUCGGUAGCCGGUCUGAGAGGAUGGCCGGCCACACUGGAACUGAGACACGGUCCAGACUCCUACGGGAGGCAGCAGUGGGGAAUCUUGCGCAA